This 311-nucleotide unclassified non-coding RNA is filed under the name plant metagenome. RNAcentral describes it as "partial contains 5.8S ribosomal RNA, internal transcribed spacer 2, and large subunit ribosomal RNA". The stretch from base 1 to 106 matches the Rfam family "5.8S ribosomal RNA", at positions 49 to 154 of the family's 154-position model. The record is from RNAcentral.
CGAAAUGCGAUAAGUAGUGUGAAUUGCAGAAUUCAGUGAAUCAUCGAAUCUUUGAACGCACAUUGCGCCCCUUGGUAUUCCAUGGGGCAUGCCUGUUCGAGCGUCAUUUGUACCCUCAAGCUCUGCUUGGUGUUGGGUGUUUGUCCCCGUCUCCGCGCGUGGACUCGCCCCAAAGUGAUUGGCAGCCGGCGUACUGGUCCCGGAGCGCAGCACAUGUCGCGCAAACGAGUGCCUUGGUACGGCGGCGUCCAUAAGCCCCUCUCUCACGCUCUUGACCUCGGAUCAGGUAGGGAUACCCGCUGAACUUAAGC